GUGCAGCCUGCACUGUAGCCUCCAGACCACCUGGGAGUUGGAGCGCAGACCAAAGCCCGAGCUCUCAGUGGCUGCGGGGGACGGGGGUGGG
This 91-nucleotide microRNA precursor is filed under the name Canis lupus familiaris (dog). RNAcentral describes it as "miRNA (ENSCAFG00845010810.1)". The record is from RNAcentral. Lineage: Eukaryota; Metazoa; Chordata; Mammalia; Carnivora; Canidae.